AGAUAGGUGGUCGGGGUGUAGGGUGUGGUCGGAAAAUAGGCUUCUGGGGAGAGCGACCCGGUGGUCGGGGCUGAGGGUGUUGUCGGAAAUUAGGCUUCGGCUUCUGGGGAGAGCGUCCAAAACGUCCG
This is a long non-coding RNA of Daphnia pulicaria, 128 nucleotides long. RefSeq lists it as uncharacterized. The transcript has 2 exons. Lineage: Eukaryota; Metazoa; Arthropoda; Branchiopoda; Diplostraca; Daphniidae. The record is from RefSeq and is a predicted model, not a curated record.